UGGGGAAUCUUGGACAAUGGGCGCAAGCCUGAUCCAGCCAUGCCGCGUGAGUGAUGAAGGCCUUAGGGUUGUAAAGCUCUUUUGCCGGGGACGAUAAUGACGGUACCCGGAGAAUAAGUCCCGGCUAACUUCGUGCCAGCAGCCGCGGUAAUACGAAGGGGACUAGCGUUGUUCGGAAUCACUGGGCGUAAAGCGCACGUAGGCGGAUUUGUAAGUCAGGGGUGAAAUCCCGGGGCUCAACCUCGGAACUGCCUUUGAUACUGCGGAUCUCGAGUCCGAUAGAGGUGAGUGGAAUUCCUAGUGUAGAGGUGAAAUUCGUAGAUAUUAGGAAGAACACCGGUGGCGAAGGCGGCUCACUGGAUCGGUACUGACGCUGAGGUGCGAAAGCGUGGGGAGCAAACAGGAUUAGAUACCCAAGUAGUCCCUGAGCGGGCUGGCAAGGCGCAU
RNAcentral lists this ribosomal RNA (447 nucleotides) under uncultured bacterium. Its description in RNAcentral is "bacterial SSU rRNA". It matches the Rfam family "Bacterial small subunit ribosomal RNA", at positions 355 to 825 of the family's 1533-position model. The record is from RNAcentral.